Podarcis lilfordi (Lilford's wall lizard) is the source of this 116-nucleotide non-coding RNA. The record is from the annotation of a GenBank genome assembly. Lineage: Eukaryota; Metazoa; Chordata; Lepidosauria; Squamata; Lacertidae.
GUCUAUGGCCAUACUACCCUGAACACGCUCAACCUCAUCUGAUUUCAGAAGCUAAGUAGGGUCAGACCUUGUUAGUAUUUGGAAGGGAAACCAUGUUAAAAGGGUCAUUAAAAAAG